AGUGAACGCUUGCGGUAGGCCUAACACAUGCAAGUCGAACGGCAGCACAGUAAGAGCUUGCUCUUACGGGUGGCGAGUGGCGGACGGGUGAGGAAUACAUCGGAAUCUACUUUUUCGUGGGGGAUAACGUAGGGAAACUUACGCUAAUACCGCAUACGACCUACGGGUGAAAGCAGGGGAUCUUCGGACCUUGCGCGAUUGAAUGAGCCGAUAUCGGAUUAGCUAGUUGGCGGGGUAAAGGCCCACCAAGGCGACGAUCCGUAGCUGGUCUGAGAGGAUGAUCAGCCACACUGGAACUGAGACACGGUCCAGACUCCUACGGGAGGCAGCAGUGGGGAAUAUUGGACAAUGGGCGCAAGCCUGAUCCAGCCAUACCGCGUGGGUGAAGAAGGCCUUCGGGUUGUAAAGCCCUUUUGUUGGGAAAGAAAAGCAGCAGGUUAAUACCCCGCUGUUCUGACGGUACCCAAAGAAUAAGCACCGGCUAACUUCGUG
This 492-nucleotide ribosomal RNA is filed under the name uncultured bacterium. RNAcentral's name for it is "partial 16S ribosomal RNA". It matches the Rfam family "Bacterial small subunit ribosomal RNA", at positions 29 to 507 of the family's 1533-position model. The record is from RNAcentral.